GGAAGUAAAAGCGUAACAAGGUUUCCUUAGGUGAACCUGCGGAAGGAUCAUUAUUGUAUAACCGAGGUGCGAGGGCUGUCGCUGACCCGAAAGGUCGUGCACGCCCGAGUGCCCUCACACACAUCCAUCUCACCCCUAUGUGCACCACCGCGUGGGUCCCCCUUUGGCUUGUUCGGAGGGGGGCUUACGUUUUCACACAAACUUUGUAUGCAGUGUAGAAUGUAUUUUUUGUUUUUGCGAUCACGCAAUCAAUACAACUUUCAACAACGGAUCUCUUGGCUCUC
This 284-nucleotide unclassified non-coding RNA is filed under the name plant metagenome. RNAcentral's name for it is "partial contains small subunit ribosomal RNA, internal transcribed spacer 1, and 5.8S ribosomal RNA". The stretch from base 1 to 53 matches the Rfam family "Eukaryotic small subunit ribosomal RNA", at positions 1778 to 1831 of the family's 1831-position model. The record is from RNAcentral.